UAAAGCAAGAAAGGGCGUAUGGGGAAUGCCUAGGCACACUCCGGCGAAGAAGGACGCAGCAAACAGCGAAAUGCGACGGUGAGCGGUAAGCACGUGAAGAGCCGUCGAUAUCCGAAUGGGGGAACCCACACGGAGUCAUAUCCGUGUAUCACAUGUCGAAUACAUAGACAUGAUGAGGCGAGACGCAGGGAACUGAAACAUCUAAGUACCUGCAGGAAGAGAAAAUAAGAAUGAUUUUCUGAGUAGCGGCGAGCGAAAGGGAAAGAGCCCAAACCGAUUUGAGGAUCGGGGUAGUAGGAUCAUCGAGAAAUCAAACAGAGGAUCAUAGAGGAAUCACAUGGGAAGGUGAGCGAGAGAGGGUGAGAGCCCCGUACUCGAAAUGAGAGACUGGAGAGAGAUGACACCUGAGUAGGGCGGGACACGAGAAAUCCUGUCUGAAUCAGCCGGGACCAUCCGGCAAGGCUAAAUACGAGAGAGUGACCGAUAGUGAACCAGUACCGUGAGGGAAAGGUGAAAAGAACCCCGGGAGGGGAGUGAAAGAGAACCUGAAACCAUAUGCCUACAAGAAGUCAGAGCCCGUUAAAGGGUGAUGGCGUGCCUUUUGUAGAAUGAACCGGCGAGUUACUGUAUGGAGCGAGGUUAAGCAGGAUAUGCGGAGCCGAAGCGAAAGCGAGUCUUAAGAGGGCGCGAGUUGCAUGCAGUAGACCCGAAACCGGGUGAUCUAGCCAUGACCAGGUUGAAGUUGGGGUAAAACCCGAUGGAGGACCGAACCGACCCCCGUUGAAACGUUGGCGGAUGAGUUGUGGCUAGGGGUGAAAUUCCAAUCGAACCCGGAGAUAGCUGGUUCUCCCCGAAAUAGCUUUAGGGCUAGCGUCGAGAGAAGAGUUGCGUGAAGGUAGAGCACUGAAUAUGUGAUGGCCCCAUCUCGGGGUACUGAGCAUAAUCAAACUGCGAAUGUCACGCCAACAUGCUCGGCAGUCAGACAGCGGGUGAUAAGGUCCGUUGUCAAGAGGGAAACAGCCCAGACCAUCAGCUAAGGUCCCAAAAUGUAUGCUAAGUGGAAAAGGAUGUGGAGAUGUACAGACAACUAGGAGGUUGGCUCAGAAGCAGCCAUCCUUUAAAGAGUGCGUAACAGCUCACUAGUCGAAUGACUCUGCGCCGAUAAUUUACCGGGGCUAAGCAUACUACCGAAGCUAUGGAUCCCAAGGGAUGGUAGGGGAGCGUUCCAUGAACGGAGAAGUACGACCGAAAGGACGUGUGGAGAUCAUGGAAGAGAGAAUGCCGGUGUGAGUAGCGGAACGUGGGUGAGAAUCCCACGCACCGAAAACCCAAGGUUUCCAGAGGAAGGUUCGUCCGCUCUGGGUAAGUCGGGACCUAAGGCGAGGCCGAAAGGCGUAGUCGAUGGACAACAGGUAGAGAUUCCUGUACCCGUAUAUAUGUGAAGGAAUGACGGAGAGAGGAAGCUGCAGCCAGCGGCUGGAAGAGCUGGUGCAAGCGAGAUAUCGGGAUGGCAGGCAAAUCCACCAUCCGAAACGAGAAGGCGUGAAGCGUACGGAAAGCUACGGCGAGUACGGAAGGCAGUGGAGGAACUUCCAAGAAAAGUUUCUAACGUUAAGUAUAUAUGGCCCGUACCGAAAAUGGACACACAUGGGUGAGGAGAGAAUCCUAAGGUGAGCGAGAGAACUAUAGCUAAGGAACUCUGCAAAAUGACUCCGUAACUUAGGGAGAAGGAGUGCUCAUAGAGAUAUGAGCCGCAGUGAAACGGCCCAAGCGACUGUUUACCAAAAACACAGCUCUCUGCUAAGCCGCAAGGCGAAGUAUAGGGGGUGACGCCUGCCCGGUGCUGGAAGGUUAAGGGGAGGGGUUAACGCAAGUGAAGCCCUGAACUGAAGCCCCAGUAAACGGCGGCCGUAACUAUAACGGUCCUAAGGUAGCGAAAUUCCUUGUCAGGUAAGUUCUGACCCGCACGAAAGGCGUAACGAUUUGGGCGCUGUCUCAGCUGUAGACUCGGUGAAGUCUUAGUACCUGUGAAGAUGCAGGUUACCCGCGACUAGACGGAAAGACCCCAUGGAGCUUCACUGCAGGUUGAUAUUGGGAUUUGAUGCAGCAUGUACAGGAUAGGUAGGAGGCAAAGAGAUGGAUACGCCAGUAUUCAAGGAGCCGCUGUUGGGAUACUACCCCUGUUGUAUUGGAUUUCUAACCGGACGACGUAGAGCCGUUGACGGGACAGUGUCAGUCGGGCAGUUUGACUGGGGCGGUCGCCUCCCAAAGAGUAACGGAGGCGCCCAAAGAUACCCUCAGCUUGGAUGGAAACCAAGCGCAGAGUGCAAAGGCAAAAGGGUGUUUGACUGCGAGACCCACAAGUCGAGCAGGGACGAAAGUCGGGCUUAGUGAUCCGGCGGUGCUGAAUGGAAAGGCCGUCGCUCAACGGAUAAAAGCUACCCUGGGGAUAACAGGCUGAUCUCCCCCAA
This 2471-nucleotide ribosomal RNA is filed under the name human gut metagenome. Its description in RNAcentral is "bacterial LSU rRNA". It matches the Rfam family "Bacterial large subunit ribosomal RNA", at positions 1 to 2495 of the family's 2925-position model. The record is from RNAcentral.